GAUGAACGCUAGCGGCAGGCUUAACACAUGCAAGUCGAGGGGCAGCACGUCUUCGGACGGUGGCGACCGGCGCACGGGUGCGUAACGCGUAUACAAUCUACCUUGCAGAGGGGGAUAGCCCGGGGAAACCCGGAUUAAUACCCCAUGGUACCACUGGACAGCAUUGUCCUAUGGUUAAACAUUCAUGGCUGCAAGAUGAGUAUGCGUCCUAUUAGUUAGUUGGUGAGGUAACGGCUCACCAAGACAGCGAUAGGUAGGGGUCCUGAGAGGGAGAUCCCCCACACUGGUACUGAGACACGGACCAGACUCCUACGGGAGCAGCAGUGAGGAAUAUUGGACAAUGGGCGGGAGCCUGAUCCAGCCAUGCCGCGUGCAGGAAGACUGCCCUAUGGGUUGUAAACUGCUUUUACAGGGGAAGAAACACCUCCACGUGUGGGGGUUUGACGGUACCCUGCGAAUAAGGAUCGGCUAACUCCGUGCCAGCAGCCGCGGUAAUACGGG
RNAcentral lists this ribosomal RNA (501 nucleotides) under uncultured bacterium. RNAcentral's name for it is "bacterial SSU rRNA". It matches the Rfam family "Bacterial small subunit ribosomal RNA", at positions 28 to 529 of the family's 1533-position model. The record is from RNAcentral.